AUGUCUCUCCUCAGCUCCCCCACGCCGUUCGGCGCGGCCACCGCCGCCCGCCAUCGCCUCCCACUCCUGGGCCGCCGCGCCGCGCUGCAUGUGGCGCUCGCGCGCCGGGCCGGCGUCUCGUCCCGCACGCAGCGGCGCCUCGAGGAGCGCGGCGGCAAGAAGCGCCGCGGCGGCGUCGAGACCCCCGACGCGGACGAGGACACCGGCCCGGCGUGGGAGGGCGUGGAGUGGGAGGGGGAGCCGCUGGGGUUCGAGGUGUCGACGGAGCCCAUGCCGUACCUGCCGGACCCGGAGAAGCCCGACUUCUGGGAGGGGCCCAACAUGGAGGUCCUCGGCUUCUUCGUGCAGUACAUGUGGGCCUUCGGCGUCUUCUUCUCCUUGGUUGCUUGCGGCGUUGCCGUGGCUACAUAUAACGAUGGGGCAUCAGACUUCAGAGACACUCCUGCUUUUAAGGAAUCAACCCAAGUCCAGGAGUUCCCCGAAGAGUCAGAAUCAUCUGGCGCCGAUGUGUUUGAAGGUAAUCCAACUGAGGUAGCACCAGCUCUUGAGUAG
RNAcentral lists this ribosomal RNA (552 nucleotides) under Triticum aestivum (bread wheat). RNAcentral's name for it is "partial small subunit ribosomal RNA". The record is from RNAcentral. Lineage: Eukaryota; Viridiplantae; Streptophyta; Magnoliopsida; Poales; Poaceae.